Molecule: ribosomal RNA, 301 nt
Filed under: uncultured bacterium
Lineage: Bacteria
Description: partial 16S ribosomal RNA
Rfam family: Bacterial small subunit ribosomal RNA
Source: RNAcentral
CAGUAGCCACGGUAAUACGUAGGUGGCAAGCGUUGUCCGGAAUUAUUGGGCGUAAAGGGCUCGCAAGCGGUUUCUUAAGUCUGAUGUGAUAGCCCCCGGCUCAACCGGGGAGGGUCAUUGGAAACUGGGAAACUUGAGUGCAGAAGAGGAGAGUGGAACUCCACGUGUAGCGGUGAAAUGCGUAGAGAUGUGGAGGAACACCAGUGGCGAAGGCGACUCUCUGGUCUGUAACUGACGCUGAGGAGCGAAAGCGUGGGGAGCAAACAGUAUUAGAUACCCGGGUAGUCCCUGUCUCUUAUAC